RNAcentral lists this ribosomal RNA (492 nucleotides) under uncultured bacterium. RNAcentral's name for it is "partial 16S ribosomal RNA". It matches the Rfam family "Bacterial small subunit ribosomal RNA", at positions 29 to 507 of the family's 1533-position model. The record is from RNAcentral.
AGUGAACGCUGGCGGUAGGCCUAACACAUGCAAGUCGAACGGCAGCACAGUAAGAGCUUGCUCUUACGGGUGGCGAGUGGCGGACGGGUGAGGAAUACAUCGGAAUCUACUUUUUCGUGGGGGAUAACGUAGGGAAACUUACGCUAAUACCGCAUACGACCUACGGGUGAAAGCAGGGGAUCUUCGGACCUUGCGCGAUUGAAUGAGCCGAUGUCGGAUUAGCUAGUUGGCGGGGUAAAGGCCCACCAAGGCGACGAUCCGUAGCUGGUCUGAGAGGAUGAGUAGGCAGACUGGGACAGACACGCGGUACAGGCGCCAACAGGAGGCAGCAGUGGGGAAUGUGGGAAGAUGGGCGCGAGGCUGAUCCAGCCAUAUGUAGAGGAAGAAGAAGGCCUUCGGGUUGUAAAGCACUUUUGUCGGGAAAGAAAGAAAAAGCGCUAAUACCCCGCUUUUCAGACGGUGCCCAAAGAAUACGCACCGGAUAACUCCGUG